RNAcentral lists this RNase P RNA (344 nucleotides) under Methanomicrobiales archaeon. RNAcentral's name for it is "RNase P RNA component". It matches the Rfam family "Archaeal RNase P". Rfam says of the family: Ribonuclease P (RNase P) is a ubiquitous endoribonuclease, found in archaea, bacteria and eukarya as well as chloroplasts and mitochondria. Its best characterised activity is the generation of mature 5'-ends of tRNAs by cleaving the 5'-leader elements of precursor-tRNAs. Cellular RNase Ps are ribonucleoproteins. Lineage: Archaea; Methanobacteriati; Methanobacteriota; Methanomicrobia; Methanomicrobiales. The record is from RNAcentral.
GAGAGGGAGAGAGCGGCCGACGGUGGCGUGAACGCUGCUGAGGAAAGUCCCCCCACCAUCCGGGCGCGUGGCUGCAUGCAAAUGCAGAUGGCGAGAGCCAUGGCGAUGGCACAGAAACGGAACGGCCUGCUGCCAGCGAUGAAACGAUUCGAUCGUGCAGGAAUGCAGGAGAGAGCUGCACAGAGGUGCUGAAAAUUCGUUGAGCGCAUCAGCAGGAGGCGUUGAAACGGUGAAUCCCCACGGGUGCAAGCCAGAAAGGGACUGACGGACUGUCCGGGUCCUGUCCAGGUAUGGCGCAUAGCUGAAUGCCGCUUUAAACAGAAGGGGGCUUAUUACUCCCGCUC